AUUGAACGCUGGCGGCAGGCCUAACACAUGCAAGUCGAGCGAGCGGCGGACGGGUGAGUAAUGUCUGGGAACCUGCCUGAUGGAGGGGGAUACCUACUGUAAACGGUAGCUAAUACCGCAUACCAUCAGAUGUGCCCAGAUGGGAUUUGCUGGUAGGUGGGGUAACGGCUCACCUAGGCGCCGAUCCCUCGCUGGUCUGAGAGGAUGACCAGCCACACUGGAACUGAGACACGGUCCAGACGCCUACGGGAGGCAGCAGUGGGGAAGAUUGCACAAUGGGCGCAAGCCUGAUGCAGCCAUGCCGCGUGUGGGAAGAAGGCCUGCGGGUGGUAAAGCACUUUCAGCGGGGAGGCGUUACCCGCAGAAGAAGCACCGGCGAACUCCGUGCCAGCAGCCGCGGUAAUAC
Molecule: ribosomal RNA, 406 nt
Filed under: uncultured bacterium
Lineage: Bacteria
Description: partial 16S ribosomal RNA
Rfam family: Bacterial small subunit ribosomal RNA
Source: RNAcentral